UUUGAACGCUGGCGGCAGGCUUAACACAUGCAAGUCGAGCGGGGGAAGGUAGCUUGCUACCGGACCUAGCGGCGGACGGGUGAGUAAUGCUUAGGAAUCUGCCUAUUAGUGGGGGACAACAUCUCGAAAGGGAUGCUAAUACCGCAUACGUCCUACGGGAGAAAGCAGGGGAUCUUCGGACCUUGCGCUAAUAGAUGAGCCUAAGUCGGAUUAGCUAGUUGGUGGGGUAAAGGCCUACCAAGGGGACGAUCUGUAGCGGGUCUGAGCGGAUGAUCCGCCACACUGGGACUGAGACACGGCCCAGACUCCUACGGGAGGCAGCAGUGGGGAAUAUUGGACAAUGGGGGGGACCCUGAUCCAGCCAUGCCGCGUGUGUGAAGAAGGCCUUAUGGUUGUAAAGCACUUUAAGCGAGGAGGAGGCUACUUUGGUUAAUACCUGGAGAUAGUGGACGUUACUCGCAGAAUAAGCACCGGCUAACUCUGUGCCAGCCGCCGCCGUAA
This 501-nucleotide ribosomal RNA is filed under the name uncultured bacterium. RNAcentral's name for it is "partial 16S ribosomal RNA". It matches the Rfam family "Bacterial small subunit ribosomal RNA", at positions 30 to 523 of the family's 1533-position model. The record is from RNAcentral.